RNAcentral lists this small RNA (28 nucleotides) under Bombyx mori (domestic silkworm). RNAcentral describes it as "ovarian small RNA-38059". Lineage: Eukaryota; Metazoa; Arthropoda; Insecta; Lepidoptera; Bombycidae. The record is from RNAcentral.
UUGUAAAUAUUGAGCUACCCGCCAGCCU